Molecule: ribosomal RNA, 497 nt
Filed under: uncultured bacterium
Lineage: Bacteria
Description: partial 16S ribosomal RNA
Rfam family: Bacterial small subunit ribosomal RNA
Source: RNAcentral
GAUGAACGCUGGCGGCGUGCCUAAUACAUGCAAGUCGAGCGAACAGACGAGGAGCUUGCUCCUCUGACGUUAGCGGCGGACGGGUGAGUAACACGUGGAUAACCUACCUAUCAGACUGGGAUAACUUCGGGAAACCGGAGCUAAUACCGGAUAAUAUAUUGAACCGCAUGGUUCAAUAGUGAAAGACGGUUUUGCUGUCACUUAUAGAUGGAUCCGCGCCGCAUUAGCUAGUUGGUAAGGUAACGGCUUACCAAGGCAACGAUGCGUAGCCGACCUGAGAGGGUGAUAGGCCACACUGGAACUGAGACACGGUCCAGACUCCUACGGGAGGCAGCAGUAGGGAAUCUUCCGCAAUGGGCGAAAGCCUGACGGAGCAACGCCGCGUGAGUGAUGAAGGUCUUCGGAGCGUAAAACUCUGUUAUGAGGGAAGAACAAAUGUGUAAGUAACUAUGCACGUCUUGACGGUACCUAAUCAGAAAGCCACGGCUAACUACGUG